RNAcentral lists this ribosomal RNA (1358 nucleotides) under Paralulworthia gigaspora. RNAcentral's name for it is "partial small subunit ribosomal RNA". It matches the Rfam family "Eukaryotic small subunit ribosomal RNA", at positions 87 to 1105 of the family's 1831-position model. Lineage: Eukaryota; Fungi; Ascomycota; Sordariomycetes; Lulworthiales; Lulworthiaceae. The record is from RNAcentral.
CUGCGAAUGGCUCAUUAAAUCAGUUAUCGUUUACUUGAUAGACCCAUACUACUUGGAUAACCGUGGUAAUUCUAGAGCUAAUACAUGCGAAAAACCGCGACUUCGGAAGCGGUGUAUUUAUUAGAUUAAAGACCAAUGCCCUUCGGGGCUGACUGGUGAUUCAUGAUAACUUCACGAAUCGCACGGCCUUGCGCCGGCGAUGGCUCAUUCAAAUUUCUGCCCUAUCAACUUUCGACUUUAGUGUAGUGGACUAAAGUGGUUGCAACGGGUAACGGAGGGUUAGGGCUCGACCCCGGAGAAGGAGCCUGAGAGACGGCUACUACAUCCAAGGAAGGCAGCAGGCGCGCAAAUUACCCAAUCCCGACUCGGGGAGGUAGUGACAAUAAAUACUGAUACAGGGCUCUUUUGGGUCUUGUAAUUGGAAUGAGUACAAUUUAAAUCUCUUAACGAGGAACAAUUGGAGGGCAAGUCUGGUGGACAAAUCCAGUCCCGUGCUGGCGCCAGCAAGAGCGGGGGGCCCCUGCGGGCCUUCUUUCCCGCUAGUCGAGCACCCGUUCCAUGACGGGAGGGUGCCGGCGAGACAACCUGGAUCGGGGGAGGCUAAGAGGCGCCGCCAGGCGUCUUACGUUGAUCCCGAGCAGAGCACCCGAGGAGCGAUCUUCGGGCUGCCUGUGUAGAGCGCGCAAAGGUGUCGGUCGCUCUCCCCCUCGGGGGAGGCGGCUUAAGGGACGUGCCAUCCGCCUCGAAAGAGGAUUUCCUAUCUCCAGCGCCCGUCACGCUAAGGAUAGGAAGCUGCCGGCUUGCACCGGCAGUGGGAGAUCAAUACGGCCAGCAGCCGCGGUAAUUCCAGCUCCAAUAGCGUAUAUUAAAGUUGUUGUGGUUAAAAAGCUCGUAGUUGAACCUGGGCCUCGCGCAGACCGGUCCGCCUCACCGCGUGCACUGGUCCUGCCGGGGCUUUCACUAGGGGAUUCGCAUGUCCUUCACUGGGCGUGUGCGGAACCUGGACUUUUACUGUGAAAAAAUUAGAGUGUUCAAAGCAGGCCUAUGCUCGAAUACAUUAGCAUGGAAUAAUAGAAUAGGACGUGUGGUUCUAUUUUGUUGGUUAUGGGACCGCCGUAAUGAUUAAUAGGGACAGUCGGGGGCAUCAGUAUUCAAUAGUCAGAGGUGAAAUUCUUGGAUUUAUUGAAGACUAACUACUGCGAAAGCAUUUGCCAAGGAUGUUUUCAUUAAUCAGGAACGAAAGUUAGGGGAUCGAAGACGAUCAGAUACCGUCGUAGUCUUAACCAUAAACUAUGCCGACUAGGGAUCGGGCGAUGUUACUUUUUGACUCGCUCGGCACCUUACGAGAAAUCAAAGUC